GAUUCUUAGGAAGACCCUGGCCUCCAUCUUGAAAACGGAAAAUAAAAACAGCAGACCUAUGAAGGUCGAAGGGGAAGAAAAGCUGUAUCGAUUGUUGAGAUCUGGCGACUUGUUUAAAUUUCAUCAGCCUCACUUCUAUGAACUCUCAGGCCUCACGUGUACCAGCUCUCUGCUCUCCUUUGCCUUGGGACGUUCCAUCCCUGGAAGUUUCCCUGCCCACAUCUUUGUAGAGAGUCCAUUCUCCAAGCUUCAGUGUGUCAUCUGUGAGGACCGUGACCCACCUGGUACAUCGCCUCAGGGCAUUCAUUUCAGGCUCCUUCUAAAUGGCCAAGCGCCCAUUGCUAGUUGCUUCCUGGAGGAAUUUCCCAAAAUAAAAGUGCCUAUCCACAAAUCCUUCUCCUGAGGCUGCUUUUUUGGAGAAUUCAAGUUAAGGAAGAUUUCUAUUGGAUCAGUAUAUGUACAUGAAGUUCACUUUACUCUUCAUUCCCAGUGAAAAUGCUUUGGCAAUUUUGAGUACAAUUUAAAUAUUUUCUUCAUUAUUUUGCAUUUCAGUUUUAGACAUGCUUUAUCUUUAUUCUGUUAUAAAACUUUAAUUAAGACUUCCAACUCUUAUAUACUACCUCAGAUAUCUUCUAGCUUUUAUACCAGAGAGAUGAUAAUCUGUAAAUAAAUAUUUAAAUGUACUAGAAAUUCAGCUAUUAAAGGACUAUUAUGAAGAC
Molecule: long non-coding RNA, 719 nt
Organism: Homo sapiens (human)
Lineage: Eukaryota; Metazoa; Chordata; Mammalia; Primates; Hominidae
Gene: TEX41
Product: testis expressed 41
Source: Ensembl